AACGAACGCUGGCGGCAGGCCUAACACAUGCCAGUCGAGCGGACCCUUCGGGGUUAGCGGCGGACGGGUGAGUAACGCGUGGGAAUAUGCCCUUCUCUACGGAAUAGUCCUGGGAAACUGGGGGUAAUACCGUAUACGCCCUUUGGGGGAAAGAUUUAUCGGGGAAGGAUUAGCCCGCGUUGGAUUAGGUAGUUGGUGGGGUAAUGGCCUACCAAGCCGACGAUCCAUAGCUGGUUUGAGAGGAUGAUCAGCCACACUGGGACUGAGACACGGCCCAGACGACCACGGGAGGCAGGAGGAGGGAGACUAAGACAAUGGGGGCCACCGUGAUCGAGCAGGGCCGCGUGGGUGAUGAGGGCGUGAGUGUUGCAAAGCGCUGGCAGGGGGAAAGAUAAGGGCGGUACAAGCAGAAGAACCCCCGGCAAACUCCGUGCAAGCCGCCGGGUAAACAGACAAAGAGAACACGUCUGACC
This 473-nucleotide ribosomal RNA is filed under the name uncultured bacterium. RNAcentral's name for it is "partial 16S ribosomal RNA". It matches the Rfam family "Bacterial small subunit ribosomal RNA", at positions 35 to 539 of the family's 1533-position model. The record is from RNAcentral.